AUUUUUCUUGGCCGUACUAUUUUAACUUCUUAAUUAGUUCAUUUUCUUCUUCACUUAGGAAUCUGAGAGGGGCGGUGCUGCUGCUGCUGGUGGUGGAGCUUUUUUUUCUUCCAAAAAUCUCACUCGUUCUUCUUCAACUUGUUAGAGAAGCAUGGGCCGCAAAGCUGGUGGUUUGUACAUAAAUCCAAGGAAGUUUGGGACUCUUUCAAAACCUUGCAUGAAAGAGAUGAUGGCGCUUCUAAAUUGCUUGGCCACUAGUGGGAACAAUGAUGAUAAGUGUGUUAAGCAUAAGGACCUCUUGCGUACUUGCACGGAUACCCAGGCUAGUGCAAACAGAAAGCCAUGGGGAAGCAUCAAUUAUCACUUGCAUAGGCUUAGCAGAGCAAAGAAAUAGUUGCACUAUUCCAGUUAACUGGGGUUUGAGAUUUUAUAUGUAGCUGUGUGAAGAUUUUAUUCUUCAACAAGAUUUUGGGUAUACGUUUUUGUUGGUUCUUUUUUUUUGCCGAUUUUUUGAAACCAAGUUCCUAAAAUAUUUCUGUGAAUGAUUGUUGGGAGGUUAUUCUUUGCCAACAGCUUAACUAGAUUAGUUUUACUUUCAUAUUUGAUAAGAGCAACUUAUGAAACAUACAUGUUAUGGUGAUUUGCCUUUUUAAAAAAAGAAUAAUACGACGCGGAUGCUAAGUUGAAUUUGUGUA
Molecule: long non-coding RNA, 695 nt
Organism: Papaver somniferum (opium poppy)
Lineage: Eukaryota; Viridiplantae; Streptophyta; Magnoliopsida; Ranunculales; Papaveraceae
Exons: 3
Source: RefSeq, a predicted model, not a curated record